AAGGAGAACUAUUAUACACAACAUUUCAAGAUGACUGGUUGCACACAAGAGAAUUAGACUGACUGAAAUAUUAGAAUGUUGAAAGGUCUGUGAAUAGGAUUUUGAACAGAAAAAAAACCGGCAAUCUUCAUGCUCUCACUUUGCUCUCAGCAAGAACACCUGGGAUUCUUCAGCCUUGCCAUGUGUGGAGAACAGCCCAAAAAUAGGCCUGCGAACACUUCCAAGAUGGAUUGCUACUCUUUGCCUGAAGUAAAACAGAACCAGCUUUUAUUCACAUGCAGACUGAAAGGAAGACUCUCAGGUCAGACUGAAUCUCAGCAGAAUGGAAGUAUUUUCCCUCCAACUGUCAUCUCACCCCUUUUUCUCACGUGGUCUAUGGAACUCUUCAGGAGGCCCGGUCACUCCAGAAUUCUAUUCCUUGCAGACAGGAGCUUCUGUUCAGUCCCCAGAGAAUAUAGUUUGGGUAAUUCUUGCCAGCAACAUUCUCUUCAAGUCUGUCACAUGUCUUAUUGCCCAUCUGCAGAAUAAACUUCUGGAGGAAAGCCAGCAACUGACAAAUGGACAAUACAGCAACUGACAAAUGGAACGUUCUCCGAAGCUAAAUGGAAAACUCAUCAAUCAUACCCCCCGGUUGCCGAGUUAUACAUGGUGGAAAUCAUGUUCCGUGUCAAGUCUACCUUGAUAAGUCACACUUGUUCACUAACCCGCACAUCUCUAGCAAUGAACAGAGAAGGUAAAGGAGAAAGAACGACCCCAGGACUAAUUCCUUCAUUUCCUCCAGAUAUGAACUCUUGCUUUCAGAUGUUAAACGGUUGCUAAUUUCUUCCAGUAUUUAACAUGGAUGGUUUCUAGUCAUUAAACAAAAAGAGAAGAUGCCAGUUGAGAUAAAAAUCCCUCGGCACACAUUAAGUACACACAUUUCUGAGCAAACUACAACCAGACUUCAGAUGCCUGAGAAAUAGCACAGGCUGAAUUGAGUCACGGAGAACUAAUCAGUUUUCUGUUGUCCAGCCAAGCUCGUGUUUGUCUAGUUGUUUGCAUAUUCCUUGCCCAAACAGCAACAUCAAAGUAACAAGGAGAUGCCAGAAACUAGCACUACUUUAAAAGAAGACACUGUCUUUAAUUUGCUCACUUAUUAAACAAAUAUUAUGGGAUGCCUAUCAUUUGCCAGAUAUUGUUCUAGGCACUGGGGAUACCACAAUGAGCAAGAGACCUUUCCCCACAAAGAGAAAGGUCCUCUGCUAGUUCAUGAAAUGUCUUAUGAUUCAAAAUGAGAAAAUUAUAGUAAUGAUAAUGAAAUGGGUGAAAUAAUACAUAGUAGAAUAAAUAUGUUUUAAUGGGAGAGGGACUAUGGCCAGAAAGAUAUUUUCUUCAAGCUCUGAAAUAAAGCUUUCUUACAAACAAGUAAAAUUAAAGAAAUCCUAAGUGUGUCAACCUUUGUUUUAAUUUUUAUUGUGAAGAUUGUACCCAGAAGAAAAUGGAAAUGACUUCUAAAUACAUGAGAAUAGAUAAGUAUGAGUGUAGAUGUAUGUGGUGUAUAACUUCCUAUAGGUUUCUCCAGUCCUUUGCAGUUUCUAUUGAACUUUCUCAAAUCCAUUAGGUAAACCAACCAAAAAUGAAAAACUAGAGGCUCUUUCCUUCCUGCCACCCACAAAAUCAGCCCAGA
Molecule: long non-coding RNA, 1666 nt
Filed under: Suricata suricatta (meerkat)
Lineage: Eukaryota; Metazoa; Chordata; Mammalia; Carnivora; Herpestidae
Description: lncRNA (ENSSSUG00005005460.1)
Source: RNAcentral